RNAcentral lists this unclassified non-coding RNA (240 nucleotides) under soil metagenome. RNAcentral describes it as "partial contains 5.8S ribosomal RNA, internal transcribed spacer 2, and large subunit ribosomal RNA". The record is from RNAcentral.
AACAUCGCGCACCUGCGGGAACCUGCGGAGGGAUCAUUACGAGAGUGUCACCACUCCCAACCCAUUGUUUACCUACCCGUCCACCGUGCUUCGGCAGGCAGCCCUGUGGGACAGAGCCUCGCCCCCUUUCGCGGGGGGUGCCUGCCGCUUGCCAACCAAAACUCUAGCUGUUUUAGUACCAUCUGAGUCUUCCACAAAUGAACAAAACUUUCAGCAACGGAUCUCAGAUCGGAAGAGCAC